UACGUAGGGGGCAAGCGUUGUCCGGAAUCAUUGGGCGUAAAGAGCGUGUAGGCGGCCAGAUAAGUCCGCUGUGAAAUCUCGAGGCUCAACUUCGAGCUGUCGGUGGAAACUGUCGGGCUAGAGUCCGGAAGAGGCGAGUGGAAUUCCUGGUGUAGCGGUGGAAUGCGCAGAUAUCAGGAGGAACACCGAUGGCGAAGGCAGCUCGCUGGGACGGUACUGACGCUGAGGCGCGAAAGCGUGGGGAGCGAACAGG
Molecule: ribosomal RNA, 253 nt
Filed under: uncultured bacterium
Lineage: Bacteria
Description: partial 16S ribosomal RNA
Rfam family: Bacterial small subunit ribosomal RNA
Source: RNAcentral